Long non-coding RNA from Calypte anna (Anna's hummingbird), 1274 nucleotides. RefSeq lists it as uncharacterized. The transcript has 3 exons. Lineage: Eukaryota; Metazoa; Chordata; Aves; Apodiformes; Trochilidae. The record is from RefSeq and is a predicted model, not a curated record.
UGGCGGCCCGGAGAGGGGGCGGCCCGGAGAGUUUCCCCUUCUCAAGGGCAUUGGGUGAUAGACCAGCUGUCUAUUAGCAUCCAGGCUCCUUGAGGAAACCCAGCUGUGUCUCCUGACCCACUCAGGGGUGCCACCAUGCCAUCCACAGUGCUUAUGCUAUGAACAUCCUGAUACUGUGAUGCACGGGCUGUCCUGACCACCUUCUGCCUUUGCUGCAGCAUGGGCUCCGUGCACUCGCUCCUGAGGAGAUCCCAACACUUUAUAAGGGCCUUGAUAUGUAUUCACUGUGCUGAGUGCUGUGCCUUCUCCAAAUAAAUGACAAGUGAGACUAAGCCCAGCAGCUGGGAUUGAGAUGCAAAGCAGAAGGACUGCAAAACCAGUAAUGCCUAAACUUCUUCCCUCCACCUUCCAAGUACUCUUCUGCAGCAGCCUGCCACAGCUGAAAUAAAUUUAGAAGAGUCCCCUUGAUUCUUAGGGGAUCUUGACAAAAAGACAUCAUGGGACCAUCAUGCUGAAUGCUGGUAACCAUCCUGUACUUGACAGAGACAUCAGGGCACAGGAUGCAGUUCCUCACCCUCCUCAGAUAGUAAAUCACUCAUCUCUUUCUUAGUGUUAUCUCCUCCCACCCUGCUAUCCCUUCCCUUGCUCCAGAUAACAGUGCCCUUUCCCCACACACACACCCCACCCCCCUGAUGGUCUAGCUGCUUACAUAAUCUAAUUAAAUUUGCAAGUCGUUUUCUGCUGGUUUUCACUUUCAAGAAUACUGUUCCUGUUUCAGAUCUGAAAAAGAGGUUCCUGCCCCUAAAUUUCUUUUUUUUUUUCCCAGGGACAGCUGAUCUGAUCAAAGACAGCCCCUCUUUCUACAAACCACAGUGGAAAGAGAGCAAUUUACGUCUUUAGUAGUGGGUUGAGUGACAAGGGAACAUUUGGCUCAUUCUCCAUAGUGUAAUAUGCAGCUAAAAACAUCCAGUUAGUAGGUGUGCUUCAAUUUUGUUUUAUUUUGAAGAGAUUGUUCUAGAAAAAUUAGUAUUUCUGUAGUAGUAUUGAGAUCUCUUAUAAAUGCAGUGGUUGACUCAGUGUGCUAGAGUCAGAAUAGAAGCCUUUUGGCACAACUGGUAAGGUAGAUGGACCUUCAUGUUACUUGGUUUGUAGGGUCUAUAUUCAGAUCUGCAGCUGUGAAGUGGAAGAUAGUACUUAAAUGUGCAUCAUUUAACUAGGUCAAGGCUCCUGUGUGAACAGAGGAUGAGAUGGUGGAUGAGAAAUUGAACAUGAGC